This is a long non-coding RNA of Equus caballus (horse), 1554 nucleotides long. Lineage: Eukaryota; Metazoa; Chordata; Mammalia; Perissodactyla; Equidae. The record is from Ensembl.
GAGGGGGAGACAGACGUGUGAGCUGCAAACUCGCCCUGGGAUUCCAUUGUGUGCGCAGGGCUGGGAGGGAGGCCCGGAGAUGCCGGACUCCUCCUCCUGUCCCUUCAUCCAAUCCCCAGGCACUUGCUCAGCGCCCAGUUGGAAGUUAAAGAUUCAGAGAAUAAUUGGUCAUCCCUGACCUCAGCGAGCUCGCAAUUUAGGGAAGGGAGCAAGACAGGUGACAGGUGACAAGUAAGAUACUUUUAAAUAGCAUGGUGCUAGAGACAUGCUCAGCUUGUUGGGAGAGUAUAAAGGGAAGUUGUGUGUUUUUUAAAAAUUUUUAUUUCUUUUUACAAAUAUUGGUUUGUUGCCCUUUGAAAGAAAUAUGGAAGCAAUUCUUUGGCCGACAGCACUUGACUGCCUCAUGGCCCUCCCUGCCUUUUUGCCAGAAAUCGCAUCAUUAGAAAGUCUUUCUUAGGCUAGAACAUUGCUUUCUUUAUGUGUCUUUUACAAUGCAGGGCGUGAGACCAUCAGUGCCCACACCUGGGUGGCUUUCCUCAGAAGCAGAGGUGGGCCUUCCAGGUGUGGCUCUUGAGAAGGAGAAGAAGGAAGCAGAGAGGAGAGGUGGCCAUCCAGGACGGGCAGGGGACCUGGCUUUUAUCCAGGGCAGUCUGCGGGAUCUUCAGCACUCGCAGCUCCCCGGGCUCCGGAGCCCGCAGGGCCUGGGCCAGGCAGGGCUUUGAAAGCCACAUCCUGCCUCGGAGCUCAUUCCGCCUGGAUGGGGCCCCAGGGAAGGAUGAGCAGGCUUACAUGUAUGCCAGCACCCCAGCAGGGCCUCCACCCGCCACCCGCCACCGUGCUGGCCCAGGGCCAGGGCCACCGAGAGCCGGCUCCAAAAUCCUGUCUGCUGUCUGCCUCCCGGGACUGCUCCGGCCCCAGCCGUCUCAGGACCACACGACAGCAUCCUGACCAGCCCGUAUUGUUGGGCGCUCCAGUCGCUGCAGUGCUGGAAAGUCUCGUCACCUCUUCAGAGCAGGGCCACACCACACCUCCAUGGGGCGGCAGUCCUGGGGAGACGGAGCUCCGUGAGCCUGUGAGCCCCAGAGCCCCGACAGCUGACGGCUCGCAUGGCGAGGAUGCUGAGCAGAGGACAGUGCUCCCAGGCCUAGAUGACAUCACGGACCCCAGGGACCCGCCUGUCAGUGGAGGAGGAACAUGCAGGUUGUCCAGCCCCCUGGAGCCUGGCCUGGGUUCCUGCUGCCCUGCUGUCUCUCUAGAACAGUUCAGGGGGGUCCUUUCCAUCCUAACAGCGUUCUGACAUCUGCAGAAUCUGGGAGGCAUCAAGGGCCUGGCCGGCUGCUAACAUAUCAGGUUCCCACAACAGUUUGACUAGGUAUCUAUCAUACUUCCGAUUUCAUGGAUGAGGGAACCAAAGUCCAGAGAGGCUGAGGAACUUCAAGGCUCCAUAGCUACUCACGGAUGGAGAUGAGACUUAAACAGAGCUCAUCAUUAUUGACCAGGACGCUGCACGAAAUUCCUUGUUUAAAAGACGUAUUUGUUUUAUCUGGAGUGCCU